GACAGAGGGUGCGAGCGUUGUUCGGAAUUACUGGGCGUAAAGCGCGCGCAGGCGGCUUUGCAAGUCGGGAGUGAAAUACCGGGGCUCAACCCCGGCACGGCUUCCGAAACUGCAUGGCUAGGGACCGGUAGAGGCUGGUGGAAUUCCCGGUGUAGCGGUGGAAUGCGUAGAUAUCGGGAAGAACACCCGUGGCGAAGGCGGCCAGCUGGGCCGGGUCCGACGCUGAGGCGCGAAAGCGUGGGGAGCAAAC
Molecule: ribosomal RNA, 250 nt
Filed under: uncultured bacterium
Lineage: Bacteria
Description: partial 16S ribosomal RNA
Rfam family: Bacterial small subunit ribosomal RNA
Source: RNAcentral